Long non-coding RNA from Gastrolobium bilobum, 1186 nucleotides. RefSeq lists it as uncharacterized. The transcript has 3 exons. The record is from RefSeq and is a predicted model, not a curated record. NCBI's taxonomy places the organism in Eukaryota, Viridiplantae, Streptophyta, Magnoliopsida, Fabales, Fabaceae.
CAUAAUAAACAGUAAAAACAAUAAUAAAGAAAAAUGUGAACCUUCUAUUAUCAUUAUUUUUGUUUUAUAAAAAAAAGGAAAUAAAGGAAAAUAGAGAAUAAAAAAUAUUAAUAAAAAUAAAGUAAUAGUAAGGUAUGUUUCUUAAUGAAAAGGAAAUGUUGAUAAUGCCUCUCACCCAUCUCUCAUCUUUACAUUUCAAUAAACCCACUUGUUAUCCAUCUCUAACAGCCAAAUUGUUGGGUUACGUCGUAGAAAAAAAUAAUAAAAAAGGAAAGAAAGGAUAAGGCUAUAGAAAGUAGAGUUUGGGGCGGUGGAAGAAUAGCUAUAGGACAGCAGAGGCGCCGACUGUUGCAUCAAAAAGCCUGCAAGGUGGAGUGGCUGGAAACCCUCGUGCGAAGAAAUCUCAUGAUAUAGCCCUCUAUAAAUACCAAGGACAUACAGAACGAAGGGGGGUGAAGGUUUUAAAAGAGAACCAACAAAUUAAUAGAAAAGAUAGAAACUCAUAUGUGCACACUGUGAGAGAAAACUCAUGACCAAGCCAAUUAAAGAAGCCACCAUCAACUCAACCCUCUGCGCCCUCCCGUAAGGUUGCUAGAAGAUCCUUCACACUGCACCAAAUUUGCUGCUUUCCUCACGCCAUCAGCCGGUCACUGGAAGCCAACUCCACAACCUCCUUCAUCACAAUCUUCUAAAAGACGUGAAAUACCAAAAUCCCAAGGUUUCAUCCCCUGCCACGGUCACUUUGGAAGAUUGUCCAUCACCGUGCUACAUCGUCCAAAGCUCACGCAAUCUCUACUACACCCACGUCGUCAACUGCUGCAAGUUUCUCCCUCACCAUCGUGAGGACCUUAACUUGAUUAAGGACUUGUGUGCCUAGAGAACCGUGCACUUGAGGACUGUGUUAGAGCAUACGUAUUAUAUUGGAGUGUGGGCUUGUGCUAAGCUCCCUAAGGUACCCAGAGUAGUGGUGAUGCUUUUAGGGGCAAGGCCCCCCGCAUUGGAGUAGUUGAUGAUGCAGCUAAUGUUUUUAUAUUAUGUUUAGAUUUGAUGUUGGCAUGUAGACUUGUUAAUAUGCUUAAUUAUUUUAGGGAGAUUAUUGUAUGUAUUUAUUUAGGCUCAUGAUUGUAUUGUUAGAGCCAUGGAUUAUUUACUGAUGCUUUUAUACUUUGAAUUAAUAUAGACUUGA